This 395-nucleotide ribosomal RNA is filed under the name uncultured bacterium. RNAcentral's name for it is "partial 16S ribosomal RNA". It matches the Rfam family "Bacterial small subunit ribosomal RNA", at positions 523 to 918 of the family's 1533-position model. The record is from RNAcentral.
AUACGUAGGGUGCAAGCGUUAAUCGGAAUUACUGGGCGUAAAGCGUGCGCAGGCGGGUUUGUAAGACAGAGGUGAAAUCCCCGGGCUCAACCUGGGAAAUGCCUUUGUGACUGCAAGGCUAGAGCACGGCAGAGGGGGAUGGAAAUCCGCGUGUAGCAGUGAAAUGCGUAGAUAUGCGGAGGAACACCGAUGGCGAAGGCAAUCCCCUGGGCCUGUACUGACGCUCAUGCACGAAAGCGUUGGGAGCAAACAGGAUUAGAUACCCUGGUAGUCCACGCCCAAAACGAUGUCAACUGGUUGUUGGGUCUUCAUUGACUCAGUAACGAAGCUAACGCGUGAAGUUGACCGCCUGGGGAGUUCGGCCGCAAGGUUGAAACUCAAAGGAAUUGACGGGG